GCCGGCGUAGCUCAGGGGUAGAGCAGCUGAUUCGUAAUCAGCAGGUCGUAGGUUCAAAUCCCAUCGCCGGCU
RNAcentral lists this transfer RNA (72 nucleotides) under Candidatus Moduliflexus flocculans. It matches the Rfam family "tRNA". Rfam says of the family: Transfer RNA (tRNA) molecules are approximately 80 nucleotides in length. Their secondary structure includes four short double-helical elements and three loops (D, anti-codon, and T loops). The record is from Rfam by way of RNAcentral. Lineage: Bacteria; Candidatus Moduliflexota; Candidatus Moduliflexia; Candidatus Moduliflexales; Candidatus Moduliflexaceae.